AUUGAACGCUGGCGGCAGGCUUAACACAUGCAAGUCGGACGGUAACAGGGAGGAAGCUUGCUUUCUUUGCUGACGAGUGGCGGACGGGUGAGUAAUGCUUGGGAAUCUGUUUUAUGGAGGGGGAUAACUACGGGAAACUGUAGCUAAUACCGCGUAAUAUCGAGAGAUUAAAGUGUGGGACCGUAAGGCCACAUGCCAUAGAGUGAGCCCAAGUGGGAUUAGGUAGUUGGUGGGGUAAAGGCCUACCAAGCCGUCGAUCUCUAGCUGGUCUGAGAGGAUGACCAGCCACACUGGGACUGAGACACGGCCCAGACUCCUACGGGAGGCAGCAGUGGGGAAUAUUGCACAAUGGGCGCAAGCCUGAUGCAGCCAUGCCGCGUGAAUGAAGAAGGCCUUCGGGUUGUAAAGUUCUUUCGGUGGUGAGGAAGGUUGUAAUGUUAAUAGCAUUAUAAUUUGACGUUAGCCACAGAAGAAGCACCGGCUAACUCCGUGCCAGCAGCCGCGGUAAUACGGAGGGUGCGAGCGUUAAUCGGAAUAACUGGGCGUAAAGGGCACGCAGGCAGAUACUUAAGUGAGGUGUGAAAGCCCUGGGCUUAACCUAGGAAUUGCAUUUCAUACUGGGUAUCUAGAGUAUUUUAGGGAGGGGUAGAAUUCCACGUGUAGCGGUGAAAUGCGUAGAGAUGUGGAGGAAUACCGAAGCGAAGCAGCCCCUUGGGGGAAUACUGACGCUCAUGUGCGAAAGCGUGGGGAGCAAACAGG
This 759-nucleotide ribosomal RNA is filed under the name uncultured bacterium. Its description in RNAcentral is "bacterial SSU rRNA". It matches the Rfam family "Bacterial small subunit ribosomal RNA", at positions 28 to 776 of the family's 1533-position model. The record is from RNAcentral.